CUCUUCUCCCCUCUCCCAUUCCCAGCCUCACUCCGUCAUCCGCCACACCAUCCGCUCCACCAACAGGAACAUCAGGGCAGAGAGAACAGCCUCAGAGAUAAACUUUGAUAAGCUGCAAUUUGAGCCCCCUCUUCGGAAAGAAACGGAAGCUCGGGAUGAAAUGGUUGUGGCAGCUGGCAGUGACUUUGCUUCACACUGGAAUCCUUUUGUUGAUGGUGGAAGCAACAAGGGACUGCUCACAAAAUUUGGCGAUGGGAGUGAAGAUGUUGAAGAGUCGACCCUAAAGCGAGCGGGGCCACCUCCGCUGCCUCCCAAGGUGAGA
Long non-coding RNA from Manacus vitellinus (golden-collared manakin), 322 nucleotides. RefSeq lists it as uncharacterized. NCBI's taxonomy places the organism in Eukaryota, Metazoa, Chordata, Aves, Passeriformes, Pipridae. The transcript has 5 exons. The record is from RefSeq and is a predicted model, not a curated record.